ACGCACGCUGGCGGCGUGCUUCACCCCUGCCAGUCGCACGGAAAGGCCCUGCUUGCAGGGUACUCGAGUGGCGAACGGGUGAGUAACACGUGGGUGAUCUGCCCUGCACUUCGGGAUAAGCCUGGGAAACUGGGCCUAAUACCGGAUAGGAGCCAUUUUUAGUGUGAUGGUUGGAAAGUUUUUUCGGUGUAGGAUGAGCUCGCGGCCUAUCAGCUUGUUGGUGGGGUAAUGGCCUACCAAGGCGGCGACGGGUAGCCGGCCUGAGAGGGUGGACGGCCACAUUGGGACUGAGAUACGGCCCAGACUCCUACGGGAGGCAGCAGUGGGGAAUAUUGCACAAUGGGCGCAAGCCUGAUGCAGCGACGCCGCGUGGGGGAUGACGGCCUUCGGGUUGUAAACUCCUUUCGCUAGGGACGAAGCUUUUUGUGACGGUACCUAGAUAAGAAGCACCGGCUAACUACGUG
This 464-nucleotide ribosomal RNA is filed under the name uncultured bacterium. Its description in RNAcentral is "partial 16S ribosomal RNA". It matches the Rfam family "Bacterial small subunit ribosomal RNA", at positions 29 to 507 of the family's 1533-position model. The record is from RNAcentral.